GCGGCUUUUGAGGAUGUCUUUUGUCCGUAUCGCAAUGCCCCCCAUUGCUCCAUGUGCAUGAGGAGGAAACAAAGACCAGUC
This is a non-coding RNA of Pyrenophora tritici-repentis Pt-1C-BFP, 81 nucleotides long. It matches the Rfam family "Ascomycota telomerase RNA", at positions 1285 to 1381 of the family's 1858-position model. The record is from Rfam. NCBI's taxonomy places the organism in Eukaryota, Fungi, Ascomycota, Dothideomycetes, Pleosporales, Pleosporaceae.